This 450-nucleotide ribosomal RNA is filed under the name uncultured bacterium. RNAcentral describes it as "partial 16S ribosomal RNA". It matches the Rfam family "Bacterial small subunit ribosomal RNA", at positions 354 to 796 of the family's 1533-position model. The record is from RNAcentral.
GUGGGGAAUAUUGGACAAUGGGCGAAAGCCUGAUCCAGCCAUACCGCGUGUGUGAAGAAGGUCUUCGGAUUGUAAAGCACUUUAAGUUGGGAGGAAGGGCAGUAAGUUAAUACCUUGCUGUUUUGACGUUACCGACAGAAUAAGCACCGGCUAACUUCGUGCCAGCAGCCGCGGUAAUACGAAGGGUGCAAGCGUUAAUCGGAAUUACUGGGCGUAAAGCGCGCGUAGGUGGUUUUGUAAGUUGUAGGUGAAAUCCCCGGGCUCAACCUGGGAACUGCCUCCACAACUGCAUGACUAGAGUACGGUAGAGGGUAGUGGAAUUUCCUGUGUAGCGGUGAAAUGCGUAUAUAUAGGAAGGAACACCAGUGGCGAAGGCGACUACCUGGACUGAUACUGACACUGAGGUGCGAAAGCGUGGGGAGCAAACAGGAUUAGAUACCCUUGUAGUCC